AUGAUGGACUAUAGGACAGGACUGUUGCUUUUAACUCUCUGCUGGGCAGGUGUUGAUGGUCAGACUCUGACAGAAUCUGAACCAACAGUUAAAAAGCCUGGAGAAUCCCACAAACUGACCUGCACAACAUCUGGAUUCACAUUCAGCAGCUAUGCUAUGGCCUGGAUCAGACAGGCUCCCGGAAAAGGACUGGAGUGGAUUGCUUAUAUCAACAGUGGUGGUGGUAGCAAAUACUAUUCUCAGUCAGUCCAAGGCCGGUUCACCAUCUCCAGAGACAACAGCAGAAAGCAGCUGUAUCUGCAGAUGAACAGUCUGAAGACUGACGAUUCUGCUGUUUAUUAUUGUGCUCGA
Thunnus maccoyii (southern bluefin tuna) is the source of this 351-nucleotide non-coding RNA. NCBI's taxonomy places the organism in Eukaryota, Metazoa, Chordata, Actinopteri, Scombriformes, Scombridae. The record is from the annotation of a RefSeq genome assembly.